This 416-nucleotide ribosomal RNA is filed under the name uncultured bacterium. RNAcentral's name for it is "bacterial SSU rRNA". It matches the Rfam family "Bacterial small subunit ribosomal RNA", at positions 355 to 775 of the family's 1533-position model. The record is from RNAcentral.
UUAGGAAUCUUCCGCAAUGGGCGCAAGCCUGACGGAGCGACGCCGCUUGGAGGAAGAAGCCCUUCGGGGUGUAAACUCCUGAACCCGGGACGAAACCCCCGACGAGGGGACUGACGGUACCGGGGUAAUAGCGCCGGCCAACUCCGUGCCAGCAGCCGCGGUAAUACGGAGGGCGCGAGCGUUACCCGGAUUCACUGGGCGUAAAGGGCGUGUAGGCGGCCUGGGGCGUCCCAUGUGAAAGACCACGGCUCAACCGUGGGGGAGCGUGGGAUACGCUCAGGCUAGACGGUGGGAGAGGGUGGUGGAAUUCCCGGAGUAGCGGUGAAAUGCGCAGAUACCGGGAGGAACGCCGAUGGCGAAGGCAGCCACCUGGUCCACCCGUGACGCUGAGGCGCGAAAGCGUGGGGAGCAAACCG